RNAcentral lists this ribosomal RNA (464 nucleotides) under uncultured bacterium. RNAcentral describes it as "partial 16S ribosomal RNA". It matches the Rfam family "Bacterial small subunit ribosomal RNA", at positions 338 to 795 of the family's 1533-position model. The record is from RNAcentral.
CCUACGGGUGGCAGCAGUAGGGAAUCUUCCACAAUGGGCGAAAGCCUGAUGGAGCAACGCCGCGUGGGUGAAGAAGGUCUUCGGCUCGUAAAACCCUGUUGUUAGAGAAGAAAGUGCGUGAGAGUAACUGUUCACGUUUCGCCGGUAUCUAACCAGAAAGCCACGGCUAACUACGUGGCAGCAGCCGCGGUAAUACGUAGGGGGCAAGCGUUAUCCGGAUUGAUGGGGGUAAAGGGGUGCGCAGGCGGCCUGUUAAGUCAGCGGGAAAAGCCCGGGGCUCAACCCCGGCGAGCCGUUGAAACUGGCGGGCUGGAGUGGGAGAGAAGUACGCUGAAUGCGCGGUGUAGCGGUGAAAUGCUUAGAUAUCGCGCAGAACCCCGAUUGCGAAGGCAGCGUACCGGCUCCACACUGACGCUGAGGCACGAAAGCGUGGGUAGCGAACAGGAUUAGAUACCCGUGUAGUC